UCGGCGCUAAACAGUAAACAUUAAACUACCUAUACGGCUUUACUUUAUUUUAUAAAAUUAUAAAUAUUUAUAAAUUAUAAAUAAGUGAAGUGAUGAAUAAACUUCAAAAAUUCUCCAUAUCGGACUUCUUCAAUAAGAAGAAGAAAAAUGACCAAGAUAUUAAUGACAAUGAAUACAACGAACACAAUGUCGAUGAUCCAGAUAUCCCUAAGACUUCAGUAAAUAAUGAAGACUCUAUUGCUGUUAACAACAGUUAAUGGCAACCAAUUGAAUUUACAGGAGAUGAUGACACUCCUGAAUGUUGGGACUCAAAACAAGCAAAAUACUUUUGUGAAGAAUAUCCAUGGCUGUAUUUCAAAAACAAAAAGUUGGGUUGUAAUAUUUGCCAUAAUGUAAAUUUAAAUCUUAAUAAGAAUCAAGUAUCUCAUGUGCAUGUAUCAUCAAACUGGAUUCAAUGUGACAUUGUUCCAUCUGGAAAUAGAAUACCCAAACAACAAGCUAGUUUGAGGAAAAAGAUCUCCAAUUCAACCACUGCUUCUACAUUAGGUAAAGGCAAAUAUGUUACACAUUUUCAUUGUUUCAUACAAUAAACCAAAUUUUAAAAAUGUUCACUUGCAUGUUGGUGACUAAUACUGACUAUUGACUAUAAACUUUUAGGUACCUAUAAUAAACAUUUAUUUUUUAUUUUUUAUAGAAAUGAAAUAUUAAAAAAAUAAUAAAUUUCAUGACAUUUUAAAAACGUUAUUAUAAUAUACAGCAUUUUGGUUUGACUAUUUAGUUAUACUGUUAUUGUGUAUUCAUUUUUCGUUGUAAGUACGAUUGUACUUGAUGUAAGACGGUUUGUUACAUCGAUUAUAUAGUACCUAUAUCUAUAUAGUAGUAAUCCAGACAUUCCGUGUUUAAAAG
Molecule: long non-coding RNA, 906 nt
Organism: Metopolophium dirhodum (rose-grain aphid)
Lineage: Eukaryota; Metazoa; Arthropoda; Insecta; Hemiptera; Aphididae
Exons: 3
Source: RefSeq, a predicted model, not a curated record